UGGGGAAUUUUGGACAAUGGGCGAAAGCCUGAUCCAGCAAUGCCGCGUGUGUGAAGAAGGCCUUCGGGUUGUAAAGCACUUUUGUCCGGAAAGAAAUCCUUGGCUCUAAUACAGUCGGGGGAUGACGGUACCUGAAGAAUAAGCACCGGCUAACUACGUGCCAGCAGCCGCGGUAAUACGUAGGGUGCAAGCGUUAAUCGGAAUUACUGGGCGUAAAGCGUGCGCAGGCGGUUUGCUAAGACCGAUGUGAAAUCCCCGGGCUCAACCUGGGAACUGCAUUGGUGACUGGCAGGCUAGAGUAUGGCAGAGGGGGGUAGAAUUCCACGUGUAGCAGUGAAAUGCGUAGAGAUGUGGAGGAAUACCGAUGGCGAAGGCAGCCCCCUGGGCCAAUACUGACGCUCAUGCACGAAAGCGUGGGGAGCAAACAGGAUUAGAUACCCUGGUAGUCCACGCCCUAAAACGAUGUCAACUAGUUGUUGGGGAUUCAUUUCCUUAGUAACGUAGCUAACGCGUGAAGUUGACCGCCUGGGGAGUACGGUCGCAAGAUUAAAACUCAAAGGAAUUGACGGGGUCAUAGCUGUUUCCU
Molecule: ribosomal RNA, 586 nt
Filed under: uncultured bacterium
Lineage: Bacteria
Description: partial 16S ribosomal RNA
Rfam family: Bacterial small subunit ribosomal RNA
Source: RNAcentral